This 253-nucleotide ribosomal RNA is filed under the name uncultured bacterium. Its description in RNAcentral is "partial 16S ribosomal RNA". It matches the Rfam family "Bacterial small subunit ribosomal RNA", at positions 524 to 776 of the family's 1533-position model. The record is from RNAcentral.
UACGAAUGUGGCAAGCGUUGUUCGGAAUCACUGGGCGUAAAGAAUGCGUAGGCGGCUAGACAAGUCAGGAGUGAAAUCCCAGGGCUCAACCCUGGAACUGCUUUUGAAACUGUCUUGCUAGAGUCCCGGAGGGGUUGGCGGAAUUCCGAGUGUAGAGGUGAAAUUCGCAGAUAUUCGGAGGAACACCAGUGGCGUAGGCGGCCAACUGGACGGGAACUGACGCUGAGGCAUGAAAGUGUGGGGAGCAAACAGG